This is a long non-coding RNA of Carassius carassius (crucian carp), 860 nucleotides long. RefSeq lists it as uncharacterized. The transcript is spliced from 3 exons. Lineage: Eukaryota; Metazoa; Chordata; Actinopteri; Cypriniformes; Cyprinidae. The record is from RefSeq and is a predicted model, not a curated record.
CUUGUAUGUGACAUCUCGUCUUUUUUUAUUAUAAUUCCGAAGCUGUCUCUUUUGUGCUUUUCUGCAGCAUUCCAUGGCCUUGGUCUGAAGCUCAGUUAGAUGGUGGACUGUAUCAUAAGAUAGACAGUCUGGAGUUAUAUUCUUGCCAUGUAACAACUUGUCCAUGGGACUUUGCAGUUUCCUUUCCAAAUGAAGCUCUGCAGGGGUCAUCCCAAUCGUUUCCUGGACAGCUGAAUUAAUAGCGAAACGGAGUUCCGAAUGAAGUCCGGUACCCCCCAACGGGUUAGAAUUUCCUUCCGAAGAAGUAACGCAACAGUCUGAGCUUUAGCGUUGCGCAUGGGGAAACAUUCCACCCACCGGGAGUAAUAGUCUACUACGACUAAGAGGUACUCAUUUUGCUUUGUGCUGCGUGGCAUUGGGCCCAUAAUGUCCACUCCAAGCAUCUCGUUGGGAUGGGUGGUGGUGACUUGUUGUAGUUUGCCCACAGGUUUCUGAUUUUCUCCCUUAAGAGUCUGGCAUUUGAUACAUUUUUUAACAUGGUGUUUUAUGUCAGUCCACAUUCCAGGCCAGAAUGCAACAUCAUGGAUACACUUGUAGGUCUUAUAAAUACCUACAUGACCGCUCCAGGGAUUCGCAUGGUAGUGGUGUAGAAUGGACGACACAAGGCUGUUAGGAAUGUACACUCUGUAAUGAACUUGAUUGUUUGGCAGAUUGUGGCUGGAGACAUCGGAAGCUCAGCAUUCUCCUGCUGGUGUUGGUUGGUGUACAGGUUAUAACUGGUACAAAUCCGAGACAGAGCAUCAGGUGCCAUAUUUAGUUUUCCUUUGCGAUAUUCAAUGAUAAAAUCAAAUCUCUGAAGU